CAGUUAAACCCACAGUUACCCUAUGAGGUAGCUUAUCAACUUCUAAGUGUUUAUAUAAGAGAAAUACAACCAUAUGUCCAUCCUACCAUCCAGUGCUGGCUGUGGAAUUAUUGCUGUGCUUGCAUUGAUGCUAGUGGUUUACCAUUAAUGAAAGCAUUCAGAUGUCUGUGGGUGGACUCAAGAAAGAAGAUGGCAACAGAUAGCAUGUGGCAAUAUGUCCUGCUGGUUAAGGAAGCUACUCUGGAGCCAGAAAGUCUAAUCCAAAAGUUGACUCCACCACUUAUGAAAUGUGUGCACCAGGCCAAUCAUACAAGCUUCCUGGACCAUAAACCCUCCUUCGUGAAUAGGUUAAUAUAGGACACUGAAUAUACUCCCCUGUGC
This is a non-coding RNA of Odocoileus virginianus texanus, 381 nucleotides long. Lineage: Eukaryota; Metazoa; Chordata; Mammalia; Artiodactyla; Cervidae. The record is from RefSeq and is a predicted model, not a curated record.